UACGGAGGAUGCGAGCGUUAUCCGGAUUUAUUGGGUUUAAAGGGUGCGCAGGCGGCACGGCAAGCCGGCGGUCAAAUCGCGGGGCUCAACCCCGCCCAGCCGUCGGAACUGCCGGGCUGGAGUGGGCGAGAAGUGCGCGGAAUGCGUGGUGUAGCGGUGAAAUGCAUAGAUAUCACGCAGAACUCCGAUUGCGAAGGCAGCGCACCGGCGCCCUACUGACGUUCAGGCACGAAAGCGUGGGUAUCGAACAGG
This 252-nucleotide ribosomal RNA is filed under the name uncultured bacterium. RNAcentral's name for it is "partial 16S ribosomal RNA". It matches the Rfam family "Bacterial small subunit ribosomal RNA", at positions 524 to 776 of the family's 1533-position model. The record is from RNAcentral.